GGAUGGUUGAAAUAUGAUGAGUAUGGAAAAUAAUUGAUUUAAAAAUGAGAAAGAAUAAGAUCCAACUCUGAUUUCAUCUGAAG
Small nucleolar RNA from Jaculus jaculus (lesser Egyptian jerboa), 83 nucleotides. Ensembl annotates it as predicted gene, 24916. NCBI's taxonomy places the organism in Eukaryota, Metazoa, Chordata, Mammalia, Rodentia, Dipodidae. The record is from Ensembl.